Molecule: ribosomal RNA, 481 nt
Filed under: uncultured bacterium
Lineage: Bacteria
Description: partial 16S ribosomal RNA
Rfam family: Bacterial small subunit ribosomal RNA
Source: RNAcentral
GAUGAACGCUGGCGGCGUGCCUAACACAUGCAAGUCGAGCGAUGAAACCGCCUCCGGGCGGACAUGAAGCGGCGAACGGGUGAGUAACACGUGACCGGCCUGCCCCCCGCCCAGGGACAGCCCCCCGAAAGGGGGAUUAAUACCUGGUACUCCGGAAGCGGCGCAUGCCGCGUCCGGGAAAGCUUUCGCGGCGGGGGAUGGGGUCGCGGCCCAUCAGGUAGACGGCGGGGCAGAGGGCCACCGUGCCGACGACGGGUAGCCGGGUUGAGAGACCGACCGGCCACAUUGGGACUGAGAUACGGCCCAGACUCCUACGGGAGGCAGCAGUGGGGAAUUUUGCGCAAUGGGGGCAACCCUGACGCAGCAACGCCGCGUGCGGGACGAAGGCGUCCGCGUCGUAAACCGCUUUCAGCGGGGAACACUUCAACGAGGGUACCCGCAGAAGAAGCCCCGGCUAAAUACGUGCCAGCCGCCGCCGUAA